Molecule: ribosomal RNA, 140 nt
Filed under: uncultured bacterium
Lineage: Bacteria
Description: partial 16S ribosomal RNA
Rfam family: Bacterial small subunit ribosomal RNA
Source: RNAcentral
UACUGGCGCGCUGACCAGCAUGCGCGCGUGUCGGAGAAGGCCUUCGGGUUGUAAAGUACUUUCAGCGGGGAGGAAGGGAGUAAAGUUAAUACCUUUGCUCAUUGACGUUACCCGCAGAAGAAGCACCGGCUAACUCCGUG